Molecule: ribosomal RNA, 372 nt
Filed under: uncultured Pseudomonas sp.
Lineage: Bacteria; Pseudomonadati; Pseudomonadota; Gammaproteobacteria; Pseudomonadales; Pseudomonadaceae
Description: bacterial SSU rRNA
Rfam family: Bacterial small subunit ribosomal RNA
Source: RNAcentral
UAGUAACUUCUUCGGACAAUAGUACAAGGUGCUGCGAUGGUUGUCGUCAGCUCGUGCGUGAGUGUCGGGUUAAGUCCCGUAACGAGCGCAACCCUUGUCCUUAGUUACCAGCACGUUAUGGUGGGCACUCUAAGGAGACUGCCGGUGACAAACCGGAGGAAGGUGGGGAUGACGUCAAGUCAUCAUGGCCCUUACGGCCUGGGCUACACACGUGCUACAAUGGUCGGUACAAAGGGUUGCCAAGCCGCGAGGUGGAGCUAAUCCCAUAAAACCGAUCGUAGUCCGGAUCGCAGUCUGCAACUCGACUGCGUGAAGUCGGAAUCGCUAGUAAUCGUGAAUCAGAAUGUCACGGUGAAUACGUUCCCGGGCCUU